RNAcentral lists this ribosomal RNA (252 nucleotides) under uncultured bacterium. Its description in RNAcentral is "partial 16S ribosomal RNA". It matches the Rfam family "Bacterial small subunit ribosomal RNA", at positions 524 to 776 of the family's 1533-position model. The record is from RNAcentral.
UACGUAGGGUGCGAGCGUUGUCCGGAAUCAUUGGGCGUAAAGCGCGCGUAGGUGGUCCGUAAGUCCGCUGUGAAAGUCAAAGGCUCAACCUUUGAAAGCCGGUGGAUACUGUGGGACUAGAGUACGGAAGAGGCGAGUGGAAUUCCUGGUGUAGCGGUGGAAUGCGCAGAUAUCAGGAGGAACACCAAUAGCGAAGGCAGCUCGCUGGGACGUUACUGACACUGAGGCGCGAAAGCGUGGGGAGCGAACAGG